RNAcentral lists this ribosomal RNA (2861 nucleotides) under Acinetobacter baumannii. Its description in RNAcentral is "bacterial LSU rRNA". It matches the Rfam family "Bacterial large subunit ribosomal RNA". The record is from RNAcentral. Lineage: Bacteria; Pseudomonadati; Pseudomonadota; Gammaproteobacteria; Moraxellales; Moraxellaceae.
GUUGUAUAGUCAAGUAAUUAAGUGCAUGUGGUGGAUGCCUUGGCAGUCAGAGGCGAUGAAAGACGUGAUAGCCUGCGAAAAGCUCCGGGGAGGCGGCAAAUAUCCUUUGAUCCGGAGAUGUCUGAAUGGGGGAACCCACCUACUUUAAGGUAGGUAUUGCAACAUGAAUACAUAGUGUUGCAAGGCGAACGAGGGGAAGUGAAACAUCUCAGUACCCUUAGGAAAAGAAAUCAAUUGAGAUUCCCUCAGUAGCGGCGAGCGAACGGGGAUCAGCCCAUUAAGUUAUGUGUGUUUUAGUGGAACGCUCUGGGAAGUGCGAACGUAGAGGGUGAUAUUCCCGUACACGAAAGGGCACACAUAAUGAUGACGAGUAGGGCGAGGCACGUGAAACCUUGUCUGAAUAUGGGGGGACCAUCCUCCAAGGCUAAAUACUCCUGACUGACCGAUAGUGAACCAGUACCGUGAGGGAAAGGCGAAAAGAACCCCUGUGAGGGGAGUGAAAUAGAUCCUGAAACCGCAUGCAUACAAGCAGUGGGAGCACCUUCGUGGUGUGACUGCGUACCUUUUGUAUAAUGGGUCAGCGACUUAUAUUCAGUAGCGAGGUUAACCGUAUAGGGGAGCCGUAGAGAAAUCGAGUCUUAAUAGGGCGUUUAGUUGCUGGGUAUAGACCCGAAACCAGGCGAUCUAUCCAUGAGCAGGUUGAAGGUUGGGUAACACUAACUGGAGGACCGAACCCACUGUCGUUGAAAAGCCAGGGGAUGACUUGUGGAUAGGGGUGAAAGGCUAAUCAAGCCUGGUGAUAGCUGGUUCUCCCCGAAAGCUAUUUAGGUAGCGCCUCGGACGAAUACCAUAGGGGGUAGAGCACUGUUUCGGCUAGGGGGUCAUCCCGACUUACCAAACCGAUGCAAACUCCGAAUACCUAUGAGUACUAUCCGGGAGACAGACUGCGGGUGCUAACGUCCGUAGUCAAGAGGAAAACAAUCCAGACCGCCAGCUAAGGCCCCAAAAUCAUAGUUAAGUGGGAAACGAUGUGGGAAGGCAUAGACAGCUAGGAGGUUGGCUUAGAAGCAGCCACCCUUUAAAGAAAGCGUAAUAGCUCACUAGUCGAGUCGGCCUGCGCGGAAGAUGUAACGGGGCUAAAACUAUGUGCCGAAGCUGCGGAUNNNNAUGCUGGAGGUAUCAGAAGUGCGAAUGCUGACGUGAGUAACGACAAAACGGGUGAAAAACCCGUUCGCCGAAAGACCAAGGGUUCCAGUCCAACGUUAAUCGGGGCUGGGUGAGUCGACCCCUAAGGCGAGGCCGAAAGGCGUAGUCGAUGGGAAAAUGGUUAAUAUUCCAUUACUUCUGUGUAAUGCGAUGAGAGGACGGAGAAGGCUAAAUCAGCCUGGCGUUGGUUGUCCAGGUGAAAGGAUGUAGGCAUGUAUCUUAGGCAAAUCCGGGGUACUCUAUGCUGAGAUCUGAUAGCAAGCUGUACUUGUACAGCGAAGUGGUUGAUGCCAUGCUUCCAGGAAAAGUCUCUAAGCUUCAGUUACACAGGAAUCGUACCCGAAACCGACACAGGUGGUCAGGUCGAGUAGACCAAGGCGCUUGAGAGAACUCUGCUGAAGGAACUAGGCAAAAUGGUACCGUAACUUCGGGAGAAGGUACGCUGUUGUUGGUGAUGGAACUCGCUUCCUGAGCUGACGACAGCCGCAGAAACCAGGCCGCUGCAACUGUUUAUUAAAAACAUAGCACUCUGCAAACACGAAAGUGGACGUAUAGGGUGUGAUGCCUGCCCGGUGCUGGAAGGUUAAUUGAUGGGGUUAGCGUAAGCGAAGCUCUUGAUCGAAGCCCCAGUAAACGGCGGCCGUAACUAUAACGGUCCUAAGGUAGCGAAAUUCCUUGUCGGGUAAGUUCCGACCUGCACGAAUGGCAUAAUGAUGGCGGCGCUGUCUCCAGCAGAGGCUCAGUGAAAUCGAAAUCGCUGUGAAGAUGCAGUGUACCCGCGGCUAGACGGAAAGACCCCGUGAACCUUUACUGCAGCUUGACACUGAACUUUGACCUUACUUGUGUAGGAUAGGUGGGAGGCUUUGAAGCUGGAACGCUAGUUCCAGUGGAGCCGUCCUUGAAAUACCACCCUGGUAAUGUUGAGGUUCUAACUCUGUCCCGUGAUCCGGGACGAGGACCGUGUCUGGUGGGUAGUUUGACUGGGGCGGUCUCCUCCUAAAGAGUAACGGAGGAGUACGAAGGUGCGCUCAGCGUGGUCGGAAAUCACGCGUAGAGUAUAAAGGCAAAAGCGCGCUUAACUGCGAGACCCACAAGUCGAGCAGGUACGAAAGUAGGUCUUAGUGAUCCGGUGGUUCUGUAUGGAAGGGCCAUCGCUCAACGGAUAAAAGGUACUCUGGGGAUAACAGGCUGAUACCGCCCAAGAGUUCAUAUCGACGGCGGUGUUUGGCACCUCGAUGUCGGCUCAUCUCAUCCUGGGGCUGAAGCAGGUCCCAAGGGUAUGGCUGUUCGCCAUUUAAAGAGGUACGCGAGCUGGGUUUAGAACGUCGUGAGACAGUUCGGUCCCUAUCUACCGUGGGCGCUGGAAAUUUGAGAGGAUCUGCUCCUAGUACGAGAGGACCAGAGUGGACGAACCUCUGGUGUACCGGUUGUGACGCCAGUCGCAUCGCCGGGUAGCUAUGUUCGGAAGGGAUAACCGCUGAAAGCAUCUAAGCGGGAAGCCUACCUCAAGAUAAGAUUUCCCUAGGACUUUAUGUCCUCUAAAGAGCCGUUCGAGACUAGGACGUUGAUAGGUUGGAUGUGGAAGCAUAGUGAUAUGUGAAGCUGACCAAUACUAAUUGCUCGUGAGGCUUGACUAUACAACACCCAAGCAGUUG